Long non-coding RNA from Paramormyrops kingsleyae, 1045 nucleotides. RefSeq lists it as uncharacterized. The record is from RefSeq and is a predicted model, not a curated record. Lineage: Eukaryota; Metazoa; Chordata; Actinopteri; Osteoglossiformes; Mormyridae.
GAUCUGAAUACCCAGUGAAGCCUGGAGUCCAGGCAAGGGUGACAUUAUUCUCCUUCAUUUGGACCACAUGCACUGCCUGGGGGGCCUCUGGUAACACUGCAUGAAGAGAGACAGCCACCACCGCGAGUGACAUCAGUGACACGACACAGCAUCACACAGAAAAGCAGGCAGGCUCUGAGGAAAUGGUGACCCCCUGAAGUUCCGCCUCGCACCAGUACUUUCCGGCGUCCUGCUGCUGCACUGAUUUCAUGCUGCAAACAGACAGAAAAGCACGAGUGUGCCUCUACAGAGCUGCAAGCGAAAGGAUCCACCCAGCGGCGCAUGCUGCUGUCAUGGCGGCGGCAGGACAGAGUCACAUGAUCAGAAGUUGCCGGCCAAAGCUGACUACAUUCCAGCGUCUCCUUAUCAGGCUCCAGCUGUACCUGCCCAUUGGCCUCAUGCUGAGUUAUUUACAGCCGCUACCCAUGACACAGGCAUUGCAAAGGUGAUCCAACACAAAAGGAAACUGCCCUCCACAAACUCACAUGCAUGGAAGGGAGAAACUUGAGGAAUCACCUUUGGCUCUACCUGCAAUGUUGCUCUGACUGUUUCUCCUUAAAACACAAGAAAAGAAUUCCACAAAAAAUGCACCACAGAAGACACUGACGUCUGUCAUUACUCCAGAGGGUCUUUUAAAACAAGGACAGGCAAAAAGUCUAAGUGCUCUUUACGUGUACAAGUAGGGACAAGCCACACUGUCUAAUAAAACCUAAGUCUCAGAGAACAUGGUGGAUGAAUAAUCCAAAUGCAUCAUUAACUGAGCACAAACAGGUUAAAAAAAAGGUUUUGAAACAGUAGUUGCCAGCAGUAAGAUUUAUGGAAAACUCAGAGAUAAGCUAUCAAGCCCAGCUUACUUAUGUAAUAUUUAGCUGGUAGGCUCAUGUUUUUCAAUGCCUCUACUGUAGGAUCUCUGGGGGAAACAGCGAGUUUCUGGUUCUAGAUAGUUUCUUAAACAUGAUGGUAUGUAACUCCCAAUAAAGGCAGCACUACAGAAAUUACUGACUCG